CUAAGUUUGAUGGCGACCGGCGCACGGGUGAGUAACACGUAUCCAACCUGCCGAUGACUCGGGGAUAGCCUUUCGAAAGAAAGAUUAAUACCCGGUGGCAUAGUUCUUCCGCAUGGUAGAACUAUUAAAGAAUUUCGGUCAUCGAUGGGGAUGCGUUCCAUUAGGUUGUUGGCGGGGUAACGGCCCACCAAGCCUUCGAUGGAUAGGGGUUCUGAGAGGAAGGUCCCCCACAUUGGAACUGAGACACGGUCCAA
RNAcentral lists this ribosomal RNA (254 nucleotides) under uncultured bacterium. RNAcentral describes it as "partial 16S ribosomal RNA". It matches the Rfam family "Bacterial small subunit ribosomal RNA", at positions 79 to 334 of the family's 1533-position model. The record is from RNAcentral.